CCUCCCAUGGCUCCUCACCCAGGGGGCGACGCAGUCGCCGUGGAACACGUGAUCGCAGGGCGUGACGAGCACGCUCUCCCUCGCUGCGAAGGCCUCCAAGCAUAUCAGUAGCAGAUGCUUCAACACAAAAAGUAUCAGAUCAGAUGCUCUGGAGGGACACUUGAAGGCAGACUAAUGGCGAAGCGAAAAAAGAAAGGAUUCUGCUUUCGAUGGUGGUCUUUCUUUUCGCCGAGAGGGUGGUGGUCUUUCUUUUCGCCGAGAGGGAUCGGAUUCGGCUUAGUGCAGCCCACCUAAUACACCGGAUUUAGAUUGUUCUUAUGCGAGAUCGUGCUAUCGACAAAAAAGGUAUAUUAAACUAGUCAAAUCUAUUGCAUGAAUGAUAAUCAGGUUCAGUAUUUCUGUUCCGAUUA
Ananas comosus (pineapple) is the source of this 410-nucleotide long non-coding RNA. RefSeq lists it as uncharacterized. The transcript has 2 exons. The record is from RefSeq and is a predicted model, not a curated record. Lineage: Eukaryota; Viridiplantae; Streptophyta; Magnoliopsida; Poales; Bromeliaceae.